This is a small nuclear RNA of Schistocerca serialis cubense, 107 nucleotides long. NCBI's taxonomy places the organism in Eukaryota, Metazoa, Arthropoda, Insecta, Orthoptera, Acrididae. The record is from RefSeq and is a predicted model, not a curated record.
GUACUCUCUUCAGCGGUAUGUAUACUAAAACUGGAACGAUAGAGAGAAGAUUAGCAUGGCCUCUGCGCAAGAGUGACACGAAAAAUCUUGAAGCUUCCUGCACUUUU